Molecule: ribosomal RNA, 459 nt
Filed under: uncultured bacterium
Lineage: Bacteria
Description: partial 16S ribosomal RNA
Rfam family: Bacterial small subunit ribosomal RNA
Source: RNAcentral
CCUACGGGAGGCAGCAGUGAGGAAUAUUGGUCAAUGGCCGCAGGGCUGAACCAGCCAAGUCGCGUGAGGGACGACUGCCCUAUGGGUUGUAAACCUCUUUUGUAAGGGAACAAUACGUGCUACGUGUAGCAUUUUGCGUGUACCUUAUGAAUAAGCAUCGGCUAACUCCGUGCCAGCAGCCGCGGUAAUACGGAGGAUGCGAGCGUUAUCCGGAUUUAUUGGGUUUAAAGGGUGCGUAGGCGGUUUGUUAAGUUAGUGGUAAAAUUUCGGGGCUUAACCUUGCAGUGCCAUUAAGACUGGUAGUCUUGAGUUCAGAAGAGGUAGGCGGAAUACGUGAAGUAGCGGUGAAAUGCUUAGAUAUAACGUAGAACUCCGAUAGCGAAGGCAGCUUACCAGACUGCGACUGACGCUGAAGCACGAGAGUGUGGGUAGCGAACAGGAUUAGAUACCCCAGUAGUC